GGAUAGAUACCCUAGUAUAAUGGAAUUGCUUUUGCAUUAGUAUGAUUGGAGUGGAAUUGAAAUAUUCUGGCGGUUAAUUUUUUAGUUAGAGGAGCUUGUUUGAAUUAAGAAUUUACUCUUUAUAUCUUACUAAUUUUAGGUUAUUCAUCUCCGUUUGGAAGUUUAGAUCAAAAAAGAUUUUAAGCUAAGAUAUCAGGUCAAGAUGUACUUUUAUUAGAAAAAAUUAGCUAUGAUUAGUAUUAAAUUUAUUUAAAUUUUUAAAAAUUUAGAUUAUUAGAUUUAGUUGUAAUUAACAAAUUAGAGUAUUAUUAUGAAAAUUAAGAAUUAAUGUACAUAUUGCCCGUCACUUCUUUAAAGAAAAGAAUAAGUCGUAACAUAUA
RNAcentral lists this ribosomal RNA (380 nucleotides) under Parapucrolia aff. ocellata MZSP 73119. RNAcentral describes it as "partial small subunit ribosomal RNA". Lineage: Eukaryota; Metazoa; Arthropoda; Arachnida; Opiliones; Gonyleptidae. The record is from RNAcentral.